RNAcentral lists this ribosomal RNA (327 nucleotides) under uncultured bacterium. Its description in RNAcentral is "bacterial SSU rRNA". It matches the Rfam family "Bacterial small subunit ribosomal RNA", at positions 28 to 334 of the family's 1533-position model. The record is from RNAcentral.
GAUGAACGCUGGCGGCGUGCCUAACACAUGCAAGUCGAACGGAGGCUUAUUGACAGAACUCUUCGGAGGGAAGAUGAUAAGUCUUAGUGGCGGACGGGUGAGUAAUGCAUGAGCAACUUGCCUUUCAGAGGGGGAUAACACAUCGAAAGGUGUGCUAAUACCGCAUGAAAUGACGGGAUCGCAUGAUCCUGUUAUCAAAGGAGCAAUCCGCUGAAAGAUGGGCUCAUGUCUGAGUAGAUAGUUGGUGAGGUAACGGCUCACCAAGUCGACGAUCAGUAGCCGGACUGAGAGGUUGAACGGCCACAUUGGAACUGAGAGACGGUCCAG